Molecule: ribosomal RNA, 507 nt
Filed under: Olidiana ritcheriina
Lineage: Eukaryota; Metazoa; Arthropoda; Insecta; Hemiptera; Cicadellidae
Description: partial large subunit ribosomal RNA
Rfam family: Archaeal large subunit ribosomal RNA (bases 381-507)
Source: RNAcentral
UUCUUUAUGUAUUUUAUAUAAGGUAAUUUCUGCCCAAUGAUUAAUUUUAUUUAAAUGGCUGCAGUAUAUUGACUGUACAAAGGUAGCAUAAUAAUUAGUUUUUUAAUUGGAAACUUGAAUGAAAGGAUAAAUGAGAAAUUAUCUUUAUUAGUUUUAAUAUUAAAAUUUUAUUUUUUGGUUAAAAGGCUAAAUUAUGUUUUAGGGACGAUAAGACCCUAUAGAAUUUAAAAUAUAAAUUGAUUGUAUUUUUUUUAGGUUAAAUUUGUUCAUUUAAUUUAAAUUUUUAAUUGGGGUGAUUAAUAAAUAAAACUUUUUUUUCUUAAUUCAUUAAUUUAUGUUAUUAAGAUCCUUUAUAAGAUUAUAAGAUAAAUUACCUUAGGGAUAACAGCGUAAUUUUAAUAGAAAGUUCAUAUUUAAAUUGGAGUUUGCGACCUCGAUGUUGAAUUAAGAUACAAUUAGGGUGUAGAAGCUUUAAAGGUAAGUCUGUUCGACUUUUUAAAUCUUACA